This 1103-nucleotide long non-coding RNA is filed under the name Homo sapiens (human). RNAcentral describes it as "HSALNT0320856". Lineage: Eukaryota; Metazoa; Chordata; Mammalia; Primates; Hominidae. The record is from RNAcentral.
UGGAGAUCCCAUUUGGAAUUAAGUCAACAUCAUUUUGGUCCCAGUGUAUCUGUAACCAAAAUGUAUUCAGGUACCAAAUAUCAAAAUUCAUUUCACUACCAGGUCAAAGACACAAUCAAAAGCCCGACAAAUGGAAUUUGUGGAAUUGGAACAAAAAGCUUUUCUUCCUAGGCACAAGAACAUCAAAGCAUAAAUCCUUCAGGUAUCAGCAAUGACAUCACUUAAGAAUUUCUCAGAAUCUUUGGCACCACCCCAGGCCUACCGGAUCAGAAUCUGAAUUUUUUAACAAGAUCUCAGAUCUAGUCAAGAGUCCAGUCUGAUUUCUCUUUAUUGGGACUACCACCCAAAGCAGAAUGAGGAUGAUGUAACCACGCCCAGUGACUUCUGGAUACCACUGACUCUAGAUCCUGAAUUCCAGCAGAAUGGCUGACACCAACUGGUCUGAAGACCCUCACCAAGGAACUGACUCAGUGCAGGAAUGCAGUUUCUUCAUCUCCCUAUCCCUGACUUCACCCCUCACUUCUCAACCAAUCAGUGAUCACCACACUUUAGGCCAUCACCUGUGUCCAGACCCCUUAAAAACCCCAUCUGCAAACCUCUUGAAGAGGCAUAUUUGAGGUUUCCUCUCAUCUCCUCAUUUGGUUUCCCUACAAUUAUUAAAUUCUUUCUCUGCUGCAACUCCUACUUUUUCAGUGUAUUGGUCUGUUACUGUGCAACAGGAAAUCAGACCUGGUGGUCCUAUAGUAAGAGUUCACAGAAUAUGAUAUACAAAGUGAUCUGUGAUAUACAAAAACCGGCACAAUCUCACUCUUAAUAAGAAAAAUUCAACUUAAAAUUAAAAGUUUUUUUUCCUCAGAAUGGCAAAGAUCAAAGUUUGAUAACAUGGUUGGAAAGUAUGCAGACCGAUAUUCUCAUAUUCAUUGAUGAAGUGUAAAUUGAUACAUCCUUUGUCAGUACGGACAGGUUUCCCAACUCUAGGGGUGAAAUUUAUACAGACUACAGUGUGAAUGACAACCACUUCAAAUUGGGUGAUAUGAUGACCUUGACUCUGUGGAGGGUCAUUUGGCAAAAUAUCUCAAAAUAAAAAUGUACAUACAAUUUGA